ACUCCUACGGGAGGCAGCAGUAGGGAAUUUUCCGCAAUGGACGAAAGUCUGACGGAGCAAUGCCGCGUGAGUGAUGAAGGUUUUCGAAUCGUAAAGCUCUGUUGUAAGGGAAGAAUAGCAGUAGUAGGAAAUGACUACUGUGUGACGGUACCUUACCAGAAAGCCACGGCUAACUCCGUGCCAGCAGCCGCGGUAAUACGGAGGGUGCGAGCGUUAAUCGGAAUUACUGGGCGUAAAGCGUGCGUAGGCGGCUUGGUAAGCCGGUUGUGAAAGCCCCGGGCUCAACCUGGGAACGGCAUCCGGAACUGUCAGGCUAGAGUGCAGGAGAGGAAGGUAGAAUUCCCGGUGUAGCGGUGAAAUGCGUAGAGAUCGGGAGGAAUACCAGUGGCGAAGGCGGCCUUCUGGACUGACACUGACGCUGAGGUACGAAAGCGUGGGUAGCAAACAGGAUUAGAUACCCUGGUAGGCUCUG
Molecule: ribosomal RNA, 472 nt
Filed under: uncultured bacterium
Lineage: Bacteria
Description: bacterial SSU rRNA
Rfam family: Bacterial small subunit ribosomal RNA
Source: RNAcentral